AGCAGACAGCCAGAGCCACCCACAGUCCACGCCUGUAAUCCCCGUACUCAGGAGACUGAGGCAGGAGGAUUGCCCUGAGCUCAAAGCCAGACUAAGCUACAGGGCAAGGUCGUUGGGUGACUGGGGAUGUGGCUCAGUCAGCAGCACGGUGUUUGCCUAGCAUGCACGAGGCCCUGGGUUUGAAUCCCCAGCACACCCUCCCUCCAAAAUAGAGUGUGGGAAUGCAUGCCUGUCAUCGAUAACAUGGGAGACCAGGAAGAAAGCAAGAUAAGACUACCCCUGCUUUGGAGUCUAGAAGUUUGCAACUCUCACCCUACAUGGCAGACCCCAUAGCUGUGUACCAAGGGCCCCUUCAUGGUGUGUAUGGACCAGAAGGCUCCCACAGCGGGUGCUGAACAACUUCUGUUCUCCCCACAGCUGGAACCAGACGGACUGCUGGUGUGGGUGCUGGCCAGUGCGCUGGGCCUCAGCCUGGUCUUCUCCCUGGUCUCGGUUCCGCUCCAGUGUUUCCAGCUCAGCAAGGCCUACGGCCUCUGCCUCCUCCUCUUCUAUAUAUGUUUCAUUGUGGUGGUCCUCCUCACGGAGUUCGGGGUGAUUCACUUGAAGGCUGACUGAAGCUGCUUGGCCUGGAGGUUUAGGGGUGAUUCUGCUAGCCUCCUGAGGAGAGAACAGGAGUGGGGUGGGGGAACCCCCUGUAGUUCCCAUGUAGCUCCUGAGAAGGUAGUCUCACUGCCGGAGCUCUGCACGGAUGGGAAGGUCCUGGCUGCCGGCACCCAACAGCCUUAGCAUGGGGAUCUGGAGGCUGGUUUUGCUGGGGACAAUCCCAAGUGGGAAUGACAGAUCUGAAUGACAGCGGAGACUCUGGGGAGGGCAGCCCGUCAGCCCCCAUCCCUGCUGGGCUCUAGGCAGCCCUGUGGCUUCCUGGUAGGCUCUUCCACUCUCUGUGGUGUCAGCUGAGUCCCACGCCAGCAGUGUUGGCUGAACAGACUCCGCCAGACUGGGUCUCUCAGCCUCUGUGUCAGGUCAGCCAGAGGAAAUAGGUCAAGUUGACAGCAGCAGCAGGCAGUAAGUACUGAGUGGGGUGCCUCAGAAGCACCCAGGCUCUGCCCUUCCCAGUUGGUAGCUGCUGCAUUGGACUGUGGGACUAAAUCCUUCUAGAACAUUGUGUUCCAAACUCUGGCUCCCCGCAUCUACAAGACAGGAGCCAGCUUGGGCCCUGUGUCUACCUCAAGGGGAGCUGGGGAGUGGGAUGACCCUCCCAGGGGUGUCUUGCAAGGGGUGUGACCAGCCUUUUAAAAAUACCACUCAUUCCCUGACCGCCUUCAGCUGUAACUAGGAGACUUGACUUGUUGUUGUUGUUCAAAAAUAAAAGACUCGUUAAUUCAAGUG
This 1389-nucleotide long non-coding RNA is filed under the name Rattus norvegicus (Norway rat). RNAcentral describes it as "long non-coding RNA NONRATT008015". Lineage: Eukaryota; Metazoa; Chordata; Mammalia; Rodentia; Muridae. The record is from RNAcentral.